RNAcentral lists this ribosomal RNA (423 nucleotides) under uncultured bacterium. RNAcentral's name for it is "bacterial SSU rRNA". It matches the Rfam family "Bacterial small subunit ribosomal RNA", at positions 358 to 773 of the family's 1533-position model. The record is from RNAcentral.
GGAAUUUUGGACAAUGGGGGCAACCCUGAUCCAGCCAUGCCGCGUGAGUGAAGAAGGCCUUCGGGUUGUAAAGCUCUUUCGGCGGGGCCGAAACGGUGCGUGCUAAUACCACGCACUAAUGACGGUACCCGAAGCAGAAGCACCGGCUAACUACGUGCCAGCAGCCGCGGUAAUACGUAGGGUGCAGGCGUUACUCGGAAUUACUGGGCGUAAAGCGUGCGCAGGCGGUCUGUUAAGACAGGUGUGAAAUCCCCGGGCUUAACCUGGGAAUUGCGCUUGUUACUGGCAGGCUUGAGUGUGGCAGAGGGGGGUGGAAUUCCAAGUGUAGCAGUGAAAUGCGUAGAUAUUUGGAGGAACACCGAUGGCGAAGGCAGCCCCCUGGGUUAACACUGACGCUCAUGCACGAAAGCGUGGGGAGCAAAC